This 498-nucleotide ribosomal RNA is filed under the name uncultured bacterium. Its description in RNAcentral is "partial 16S ribosomal RNA". It matches the Rfam family "Bacterial small subunit ribosomal RNA", at positions 30 to 523 of the family's 1533-position model. The record is from RNAcentral.
AUUGAACGCUGGCGGCAUGCCUUACACAUGCAAGUCGAACGGUAACAGGUCUUCGGAUGCUGACGAGUGGCGAACGGGUGAGUAAUACAUCGGAACGUGCCUAGUAGUGGGGGAUAACUACUCGAAAGAGUGGCUAAUACCGCAUGAGAUCUACGGAUGAAAGCAGGGGAUCGCAAGACCUUGUGCUACUAGAGCGGCCGAUGGCAGAUUAGGUAGUUGGUGGGAUAAAAGCUGACCAAGCCGACGAUCUGUAGCUGGUCUGAGAGGACGAUCAGCCACACUGGGACUGGGACACGGCCCAGACUCCUACGGGAGGCAGCAGUGGGGAAUUUUGGACAAUGGGCGAAAGCCUGAUCCAGCAAUGCCGCGUGCAGGAUGAAGGCCUUCGGGUUGUAAACUGCUUUUGUACGGAACGAAAAGCCCCGGGUUAAUACCCUGGGGUCAUGACGGUACCGUAAGAAUAAGCACCGGCUAACUACGUGCCAGCAGCCGCGGUAA